AUUGAACGCUGGCGGCAGGCCUAACACAUGCAAGUCGAACGGUAACAGGAAGAAGCUUGCUUCUUUGCUGACGAGUGGCGGACGGGUGAGUAAUGUCUGGGAAACUGCCUGAUGGAGGGGGAUAACUACUGGAAACGGUAGCUAAUACCGCAUAACGUCGCAAGACCAAAGAGGGGGACCUUCGGGCCUCUUGCCAUCGGAUGUGCCCAGAUGGGAUUAGCUAGUAGGUGGGGUAACGGCUCACCUAGGCGACGAUCCCUAGCUGGUCUGAGAGGAUGACCAGCCACACUGGAACUGAGACACGGUCCAGACUCCUACGGGAGGCAGCAGUGGGGAAUAUUGCACAAUGGGCGCGAGCCUGAUGCAGCCAUGCCGCGUGUAUGAAGAAGGCCUUCGGGUUGUAGAGUACUUUCAGCGGGGAGGAAGGGAGUAAAGUUAAUACCUUUGCUCAUUGACGUUACCCGCAGAAGAAGCACCGGCUAACUCCGUG
Molecule: ribosomal RNA, 490 nt
Filed under: uncultured bacterium
Lineage: Bacteria
Description: partial 16S ribosomal RNA
Rfam family: Bacterial small subunit ribosomal RNA
Source: RNAcentral